AGCUUCAAAUUUUUAGUUUUCCUUUGCAAGGAUUGAGAAAAUUUUGUUGUGAUUUCUCCUCACAAGACAAGGUACAAGUCUAUAACGUUUUCUCUUUUCUUCUUCAUACAGUUAUUUGACUUAUGUUCACAAAACCAAGUCAGUGUUAAGAUGCCCCUUACAUGUUUGAUAAAAUGUCUGAAAGAUUUUAGCCAGUUUUGUUUCUUUUUGGAUAGUCCCAAUAUUGGAGUAUUCAAUCACUUCCCAGUUCCCACAAUUUACUUUGUGUAUUGUAUAUAGAACUACAAAUGCAAAUGGUGUUCCAUGAUAAUAUAAUAACAUAAAGAACAGACCUUUGUGCACACAAUAAAUUCAGACUUGAAAAAUGCAAAUGCUAAGCAGUUAUUCAACUUUGUCACUUCUUUCUCUUAUGAAAAAACAAUAGUGGAGGUUAUUUGGGAUCAAAUGCUGCAGACUUUUAGAAACAAUAUAGUGAACUUAAUGCCAUUAUAUGCUAGCAUGCUUUUUCAGUUUGUUUAAGCUUAUUCUAUGCAUUCUGUCAACUUCACAUGAGUUAUCCAGAACAGCAACUCAUUGUCAAGAUGCGUGAAGCGAACCAGCACAAUUGCUUUACAAUUCAAAAGAAAACACUUCGCUUGUUUUUUCUAGUUACAAUUUCACAUCAAUGACAAUUUCAAGCGCGGAGAUAUUUUAGUUGGAG
This 700-nucleotide long non-coding RNA is filed under the name Solanum tuberosum (potato). Its description in RNAcentral is "long non-coding RNA (STUB_LNC006804)". The record is from RNAcentral. Lineage: Eukaryota; Viridiplantae; Streptophyta; Magnoliopsida; Solanales; Solanaceae.